UACGAAGGGGGCUAGCGUUGUUCGGAAUUACUGGGCGUAAAGCGUGCGCAGGCGGCUUCUCAAGUCAGGGGUGAAAGCCCAGAGCUCAACUCUGGAAUUGCCUUUGAGACUGAGUGGCUUGAGUACGAGAGAGGUGAGUGGAAUUCCCAGUGUAGAGGUGAAAUUCGUAGAUAUUGGGAAGAACACCGGCGGCGAAGGCGGCUCACUGGCUCGUAACUGACGCUCAUGCACGACAGCGUGGGGAUCAAACAGG
Molecule: ribosomal RNA, 253 nt
Filed under: uncultured bacterium
Lineage: Bacteria
Description: partial 16S ribosomal RNA
Rfam family: Bacterial small subunit ribosomal RNA
Source: RNAcentral